This 2175-nucleotide long non-coding RNA is filed under the name Salmo salar (Atlantic salmon). RNAcentral describes it as "lncRNA (ENSSSAG00000102713.1)". The record is from RNAcentral. Lineage: Eukaryota; Metazoa; Chordata; Actinopteri; Salmoniformes; Salmonidae.
AGUCAUAUGUUUGAGAAAUUGAAGUAAUAGCAUUUCUAAGGUAUUUGAAUAACGCGCCACAGGAUUCCACUGGCUGUUACGUAGGUGGGACGAUUUCGUCCCACCGACCCCAGAUGUCAUGCUGUAUUAUGAUGGGCCAAUCUUAUACAUUAUAUAAUACAUUGUCACAAACACUGAGAGAAUGGCACUGCAAUAGAUAGUAGCCAGUUUACAGGCUCCUGACCAAUAUAUUGCUAUAUUGUGUGUUAUUUUGCGCUGAUAACUUUUUUGUACAUAAUGACUCGCCAUCGUUUUCUAUGACUGAAAAGAGCUUCUGGACAUCGGAACAGCUAUCACUAACCUCGAUUUGGAUGAAGAGUUGUACCUCAACGAGUCAGAGGUACAGGACAUACUGUUCACCUUGGACCAGACCCUAAUCCCAGAGACUCAGAAAAGAAAAAGGCAGCGUAAGAGGUAGAUGUGCGGGCAGUGUUAUGAGACUAAAAUUGUUAUGGAAUGUAAUAUCAUGUAAUAUUUUCAAUUGUGUAUUACUGUCUGAAUGUUGCUGAACCCCAGGAAGGAUAACUGCUGCCUUGGCUAAUGGGGAUCCUUAAUAAAUACAAAUACAAAUGCAAAAGUAAUACUUCAAAAAAUGUGUCAAAGCAAUUAACUUUUUGUCCUGAAUACAAAUUAUUGUUAUGUCUGGGGCAAAUUCAAUACAACACAUUACUGAGUACCACUCUCCAUAUUUUCAAGCAUAGUGGUUGCUGUAUCAUGUUAUGGGUAUGCUUGUAAUCGUUAAGGACUAGGGAGUUUUUUAGGAUAAAAAGAAACUGAAUGGAGCUAAGAACAGGCAAAAACCCAAAUCCUGUUUUCCACCAGAUACUGGGAGAUGAAUUCAUCUUUCAGCAGGACAAUAACCUAAAACACAAGGCUAAAUCUACACUGGAGUUGCUUACCAGUGAAUGUUCCUGAGUGGCUGAGUUACAGUUUUGACAUAAAUCUUCUUGAAAAUCUAUGGCAAGACCUGAAAAUGGUUGUCUAACAAUGUUUAGCAACCAAUUUGACAGAGCUUGAAUAAUUAUUUCUAAGGAAUAAUGGGCAAAUGUUGCACAAUCCAGGUGUGGAAAGCUCUUAGGGACUUACCCAGAAUGACUCAUAGCUGUAAUCACUACCAAAGGUGCUUCUAAAAAGUAUUUACUCAGGGUUCUGUAUUUCAUUUUCAAUAAAUUUGCGAACAUUUCUGAAAACAUGAUUUCACUUUGUCAUUAUUGGGUAUUGUGUGUAGAUGGGUGAUACAGAUAUAUAUUUAACCCAUUUUGAAUUCAGGCUGUAGCACAACAAAAUGUGGAAUAAGUCAAGGGGUAUGAAUACUUUCUGAAGGUACUGUAUGUAGGCCUAAAAAACAUAUAUCUUUAUUAUAUUCCAGUCUAUGUUAUGUUAGGCUAUGUUAUGUUCUCGGCUGUAUUAUGUUCUCGGCUGUAUUAUGUUCCAGGCUAUAUUAUGUUCCAGGCUAUAUUAUGUUCCAGGCUAUAUUAUGUUCCAGGCUAUAUUGUGUUCCAGGCUAUAUCGUGUUCCAGGCUAUAUCGUGUUCCAGGCUAUAUCGUGUUCCAGGCUAUAUUGUGUUCCAGGCUAUAUUAUGUAUGGCUAUAUCAUGUUCCAGGAUAUAUAAUGUUCCAGGCUAUAUUAUGUUUCAGGCUAUAUUAUGUUGUAGGCUUUAUUCCAUGUGUAACUCUGUGUUGUUGUUGUUUAUGUCGCACUGCUUUGCUUUAUCUUGGCCAGGUCGCAUUUGUAAAUGAGAACUUGUUCUCAACUAGCUUACCUGGUUAAAUAAAGGUUAAAUAAAAUAUAUAUAUACAAUAUAUUAUGUUCCAGGCUAUAUUAUGUUCUAGGCUAUACAGUGAGGGGAAAAAAGUAUUUGAUCCCCUGCUGAUUUUGUACAUUUGCCCACUGACAAAGAAUGAUCAGUCUAUAUUUUAAUGGUAGGUUUAUUUGAACAGUGAGAGACAGAAUAACAACAAAAAAAUCCAGAAAAACGCAUGUCAAAAAUGUUAUAAAUUGAUUUGCAUUUUAAUGAGGGAAAUAAGUAUUUGACCCCCUCUCAAUCAGAAAGAUUUCUGUCUCCCAGGUGUCUUUUAUACAGGUAACGAGCUGAGAUUAGGAGCACACUCUUAAAGGGAGUGCUCCUAAUCUCAG